RNAcentral lists this ribosomal RNA (209 nucleotides) under uncultured bacterium. RNAcentral describes it as "partial 16S ribosomal RNA". The stretch from base 1 to 185 matches the Rfam family "Bacterial small subunit ribosomal RNA", at positions 328 to 535 of the family's 1533-position model. The record is from RNAcentral.
ACGCUCGACACCUACGGGAGGCAGCAGUGGGGAAUAUUGCACAAUGGGGGAAACCCUGAUGCAGCGACGCCGCGUGGAGGAAGAAGGUCUUCGGAUUGUAAACUCCUGUUGUUGGGGAAAAAAGAGGAUGGUACCCAACAAGGAAGUGACGGCUAACUACGUGCCAGUAGCCGCCGGUAAGUUACUGAGGCGGGGCGUGGCGAAGGACG